This is a long non-coding RNA of Malus domestica (apple), 1260 nucleotides long. RefSeq lists it as uncharacterized. Lineage: Eukaryota; Viridiplantae; Streptophyta; Magnoliopsida; Rosales; Rosaceae. The record is from RefSeq and is a predicted model, not a curated record.
AUAGUAGGGCAAAAUGUCCUCUUUCCUAGCUAACUUCUUUGACUUUUUCGUCCAACAGUAAUUUUCUAUCUCCUUCCUUUUUGUUCCGAAGCCAUUCCCACCGCAUGUGAUUCUAAACAGGGCUGUUUGAACUGCUGCUCUACUUGCACAUUCCAAUGCCAUUGCAGUGGUCUCGGUUGAUGAAUCGAUCAAUUACUGUUUAAAUGGCAUAAUCUGAAUCCAGUUCUAAGGGGCCUGACUGAUAAUUUACAGAGAGAUUAAAAUGUAAACGAUGCCAUCCAAAUUCUUGUUCUCCUUGCUUCCAUGUGUAAGAAUGGUGGAAACUGAAAGCUCAUUCUUGAAGAAUGGAAGCAUCUUGUUAGAGGAUGUCAUUGCUUUGUGAUGGCAAAUCAAGUCCUAUUCGCACUUACUCCGCUGAUGAGCCAGUCAAGGCAACCAACAAUUUCGAUCCUUCUUUCAUUGUAAGCUUUAUUAGUGAUUCGUGCCAGAAAUGGGUCCUUACAAUUACCAAAGACCAGCAGGCUUUUGAUGGUGCAAAAGAAUAAACCAUCCCUAGAGGUUUCUAAUGGGUGCAAAAUCAGAAAGGGGUUCUCUCUUCUCUGUCUCUCUCCUAUUAUUUUUCUUACCGUUUGUCCUAUUGAUACAAUUGGCCAUUUUCUGGAAUUCAAGCGUCUCGGCAAAGGUCAGAGCUUUCAAUUUUUUAAUUUUAGAUUUUUGUUUUUACUGUGAGAAAUUAAGUUUCUUCAUCUUGAUGCAAUAUUUGGAGGGAAUCUUCGAGCGUGGGAGUUUUGGAGCAAAUCUUUGACGAAUAUGGUGAGUACUUUGCUUCCGUUUUGGCAAAUUUGGUUUUGGGAAAAGUUAAAGAACUCGAUGUUGGUCACGGUGGCGUCGUCGCCAUCGAGGCCGCAAAAUAAAGCUAUGGAUGAUACGUGCAACAAAUCGGUUUUGUUAUGGACAUGCAUCGUGCAAUUGACGAGUCAGUAUUUUACAAAUCUUCGACCUGAACCUAAAUUAUGGAAAUCCCAUUAAAAAUCAUCUCUUUUCAGUGACAUGCACACGACAUGCAUAUGAUAUGCUCACAGAUUUGAGCUAACCCAAAAACCCAGAUCUCACAACUCACUCUUCGAAAUCAGAAAUGGCGUCAUCACUUGUGAGUUUUUUACAAUUUAUAUGUGCGUAUUUUCGUCAUUUCAGUUUUGUGUACGGUGUGCAUGGCCAGUUUGCAGGGUCGGUCUUGAGUUUUUUGAGGCCUUAGGCGAC